UGCAGAGUUAGUACAGAGUCAGCCAGAGGUGAGUGAAACUUCUCUUUUCAGAACUAAACUGCUUUGAGCAUAUGGCAUGCAUCAUAAGAGUAUAGUAGGGUGUUUGCAUUAGUUUCACGAAGUUGACGCAUUGCAUAAUACGAUGUGUAUGAGGCUGUGGAUAGACCAAGGCGACUCCAAUAGCCCAAACUCUGUUAUAAGACCUGGCCGGGCCAGGCAGCCAUCUGUAGGUAAGACCUGACUAGAUCAGGCAGCAGAGAUAGUAAGACCUGGCUAGGCCAGGCAGGCAGAGUGGUAAGACCUGGCCGGGCCAGGCAGAUUGAGGUUGUAAGACCUGGCUAGGCCAGGCAUCCUUUGAGUGGGAUUGUUGGUGGUCAUGUCUGAUCCCUGAGAUGAUGUGCUGUAGUGCAUUCCAUGAGAUCAUGUUUUCAACUUAUGGUCUAUAUAGUUCUGCUCAUUGGGCUUGUAUAGCUCAUCCCUCUCCCCUAUCCCCCAGGUUUGCAGGUUCAGAGUUCAGAGGGAGUCCAGCAGGGUUUGCAAGAAGAAGAGUUAUGUAAUAGCUAGUGUGGACAUGUACAUGUAAAGAGAUAAUGUAUAGUAUGUAGCUUUGUGCUUGACUUAUAAGAGUUGUA
Molecule: long non-coding RNA, 632 nt
Filed under: Manihot esculenta (cassava)
Lineage: Eukaryota; Viridiplantae; Streptophyta; Magnoliopsida; Malpighiales; Euphorbiaceae
Description: long non-coding RNA (MESC_LNC007589)
Source: RNAcentral